CAGAUCCACCUGCAAGUAGUUAAUUGCCUACUUGGCUGGGCAGCAAUUAAUUAACUAAGGAACACCCAAGCGGCCCAAUAAAAGGUUAUGAGGCUUCAGAGAGACAGAGUUCCAAAAGCCAGGAAGGAAACUCCAGCUGAGAAGGAAUUCUCGGGGAAGCUAUUUAGGGAGCUCACCAGUAAAGGGGACUGAGGAAACAUACUCCUAAACCAGAGAGGUUCUGAAAGGGGAGCACACCAAGAGAGCCAAGUCCCUAAGGAGAAGGAUCUUACUAAAACAGCAGCAGGUUGCCACUCUGGAGAAGAGCUGCAGUGGUUUGAGCUCUGAGAAGGAAUCCUUCCCCUGGCGAUGGGUGGAUUCUUUCCCCUUCACAACAGAGUUGCAGAAAGCAGGUCCUGGAACACUGGUGGGAAAGGCAGUCUCAAGAAGGUCCCUCAGCUCUUUAGCAAUCCGGCAAAGUGGCUCAAAAGAGUGGAGCACGACAAAGGGACUUUGCAUUCAGCAAAUAUUAUAUUUUAGAAACUCAGGUCAUUUGCUCUGACAGUGCUGACAGCAAAUACAGAACCAGUGGAGUUAUGACUUCACAGGAACCUCCAUUUCCGGGAGAGCCCUACAGGAAACUCUGCUUGCACCAUGAAGAGACAGAAGACUAGGGUUCUAGUGUCUGCAGUACUUCUAAAGCACAAGCAGGAGGAGCUACUUGGCAAGAAGAAAAUAAUCAUAAGAAGUAUUACCUCCAUGUAUGAGAAUGAUACAGAUAAACCAAACAGUAUUCUUAACUGACAUACCAGCAAUAUCUAUACCAGAGGGGAGGGAAAGAAAUAAUACGUUGGGUAUCACUACAAAACGUAAGUAGAGAACAAGAGAAAAUACCUAGAGCAAGGGAAAAGUUAUAUAAAGAAACACAAGAUGUCAACAUAGAGAAUCCUCCAUGUGGCUCUUGACAGAGGAAGAAAAGCAGGUGGGAUUUUUACCCACACCUCAGAGCAUUCUCCAUGUCAUGUAGGCAGCGCCUAGUGACGGCAACCCUAGCUAGCUCCACAGUAACUUCCUGGGGGACAGGAUGAUCUUAGGACUAGACAGAAAGUUGCAUCCAAGCAUACCUCCCAAGAUUUCUAGUGGCUAAAGUGGAACAAAUGUUUCCCCCAGGGGGUGGCAAGCCUGGCAGGUGGGGACAGAAAAAAUUGCAAAGCAAGCCUGCCCACAGCCAUCUGUGAGGGACACAAGCCACUACUACUCAUAGCAGUGACUCUUGUCCCUCAUGGAUGGCUGGGCUCAGCUUCCCACUCUGGGCAUCGCUCCCUGGACCCCGGUGCAUGGAGUCAGUCAGGGGGCCAGCCCAAAUUUGAGUGGCACUGCCACCCCGUUUGCCAGGGCCAGGUCUCAAUGCCCAGAAUGGGGGAGCUGAGGCCAGCCAGCCCUUCAAACGGAACAGGAGCUUUUGUGGGCAGUCCUGCAAAACCUGGGACUGCUGGAAUGUCUGUCAAAGGUUAAGAGUAGAAAGCACUGCCAGUGCAGAGAGAGCUAGAAUGAUUAUGCAGGUCACCCUAGCGAUGUCUCUUCCUGUCUGGGCUGGGUCUGAAGCCAGCUGGAGAACUGCAGCAGCAAGUGCCCAGAGCAGCAUGUGCCAACAUCUACAACUCUGAUAUUCUGUUAUUUAUGGACAACUUUAGCACAUUCAUUUUGUCCUCCAAUUUUGGGACUACAAAAGCAAGGCCUAUCGAGCAUUACACAUUUGUAUUACUGAUCUGGAAGUUUAUUCAAUCAGGACAUGAUUUCAUAUCUUCUCUACACGUUUAUAUUAUGAACCAAUUGAAAUCUGAUAAUAUUAAAGAGGCAUUUGCUGGAAGAUCAAAGUAAACCUAUUCAAGAGGGUAAAUCUCAUGUACUGACAAAUAUACUAGUGUUAAUCUCAAUUACAUACAUGUACAGUUAAACAAAGAUUGAUAUGAAGAGACUGAGCUUUAAAGCACUAGGUAUUAUUACAGUUUGCUUCCUGUAGUACUGUAAUUCAUUUUUUACUUUAUUAAAAAUGGAAGAGCAAGCUUAUUUAAUAAUACAGCUGACUUAGGGGAGUGGUGGGGGAAGAGACAUACUUUAAAAUGUACUGGACGACUCAGAAGUUUAAAAUAAUUUGUAUAAGGCUAUUUUCCUUUUGCAUAUCUGCAAUCUAGAUCAUAAAGUUUUAUUGUUCCAUAGCUGAUACACUGAAAUAACAGACCCUUGUGUUAUAAAUUACUAGUUGCCCAUUUUUCCUGAAUUUGAGAGGUGAUAUAUUCUUACC
Molecule: long non-coding RNA, 2284 nt
Organism: Dermochelys coriacea (leatherback sea turtle)
Lineage: Eukaryota; Metazoa; Chordata; Testudines; Dermochelyidae
Exons: 3
Source: RefSeq, a predicted model, not a curated record